Molecule: transfer RNA, 72 nt
Filed under: Loxodonta africana (African savanna elephant)
Lineage: Eukaryota; Metazoa; Chordata; Mammalia; Proboscidea; Elephantidae
Rfam family: tRNA
About the family: Transfer RNA (tRNA) molecules are approximately 80 nucleotides in length.
Source: Rfam by way of RNAcentral
GCCCUGGUGGUGCAACGGUUCAGCACUUGGCUGCUAACUGAAAGGUUGGUGGUUGGAACCCACCCCGUGGCU